GGGACUGUUGGAGGUAUGCCCUAGAGGCAAUCAUAGAGAUGAUGAUAUUCCAUUUGUAUCCAUGAUUUGUAUGUUGUGUUCAUUGAAUAUCUAUUGAAGGCUACUUGAAUUGAUUUGCAAUUAUGUGAAUUGUAUGUGAAACUCUUUACUUGUAUGGUUAUUCUAAAGUUGUCCCUAGUCGGAGUUCAUGUGAGAACACACAUGAAUAUUAGACUAGCACAUGUAUUAGUUGAUGACUAUGUUUCACAAGUCAUGGACAUGGAGAUGUUGAACUAAUAAUGUGGACACAUGUGGAGACAUGUGUUAGGACUGACCCAACACGAGAAGUAGUUCUCUCUUUAAACAACAUAUACGCUUUGUCCUUAGACCUGAGAUUGUUG
Molecule: long non-coding RNA, 380 nt
Filed under: Setaria viridis
Lineage: Eukaryota; Viridiplantae; Streptophyta; Magnoliopsida; Poales; Poaceae
Description: long non-coding RNA (SVIR_LNC002016)
Source: RNAcentral